UACGAAGGGGGCUAGCGUUGCUCGGAAUCACUGGGCGUAAAGGGUGCGUAGGCGGGUCUUUAAGUCAGGGGUGAAAUCCUGGAGCUCAACUCCAGAACUGCCUUUGAUACUGAAGAUCUUGAGUUCGGGAGAGGUGAGUGGAACUGCGAGUGUAGAGGUUAAAUUCGUAGAUAUUCGCAAGAACACCAGUGGCGAAGGCGGCUCACUGGCCCGAUACUGACGCUGAGGCACGAAAGCGUGGGGAGCAAACAGG
This 253-nucleotide ribosomal RNA is filed under the name uncultured bacterium. RNAcentral describes it as "partial 16S ribosomal RNA". It matches the Rfam family "Bacterial small subunit ribosomal RNA", at positions 524 to 776 of the family's 1533-position model. The record is from RNAcentral.